This 63-nucleotide transfer RNA is filed under the name Fukomys damarensis (Damara mole-rat). It matches the Rfam family "tRNA", at positions 5 to 66 of the family's 71-position model. Rfam says of the family: Transfer RNA (tRNA) molecules are approximately 80 nucleotides in length. Their secondary structure includes four short double-helical elements and three loops (D, anti-codon, and T loops). Further hydrogen bonds mediate the characteristic L-shaped molecular structure. tRNAs have two regions of fundamental functional importance: the anti-codon, which is responsible for specific mRNA codon recognition, and the 3' end, to which the tRNAs corresponding amino acid is attached (by aminoacyl-tRNA synthetases). tRNAs cope with the degeneracy of the genetic code in two manners: having more than one tRNA (with a specific anti-codon) for a particular amino acid; and 'wobble' base-pairing, i.e. permitting non-standard base-pairing at the 3rd anti-codon position. The record is from Rfam by way of RNAcentral. Lineage: Eukaryota; Metazoa; Chordata; Mammalia; Rodentia; Bathyergidae.
GUGUAGCUUAGUGGUAGAGCAUUUGCCUGGCAUGCAAAAGGCCCUGAUUUGAAUCCUCAGCAC